CUCGGACCAGAUGGCCUGAAAGGAGCCAAUAAAAAUAAAACGAGGAAAUAACGCUUCUGCGUUUUGCCGCAGGUCAAGUUCUAAGCGUGUUGUUUUUUAUCGGGAAUCAGAAUAAAAGAUAUGCACUUCUAGCCUACUAGCACAUGCAGCAGAGCCUGUCAGAACCACGUCCAUUAAAUGGAUCGAUAACAUCGGAAGCAGGAGGUCAUGCGCACAAACUUUACAUGGACCAUAAAAGUCUGCUGACUCAUCUCUUCUGCAAACCACACAACAUUGUUCUCUUCUAUUAUGGAUUUAUAACGCGUUUAACAUGGACACCUUAAGCACUUUCUCACUGUGGACUUUUGUCCUCUGCAUGGAUUUUGUUAAAGGUUAUUCUCAGGAAGCUCCAACAAAGCAAAUAGUGGCUCUGCUGGGUGAUGACGUUGUUUUACCCUGUUUCCUGAAAUCUCCCGUGGACACUUCAAACCUGCAGCUGGAGUGGGCGAGAACUGACCUGACACCAGGAUUUAUAUAUGUGAGGG
Molecule: long non-coding RNA, 524 nt
Organism: Oreochromis niloticus (Nile tilapia)
Lineage: Eukaryota; Metazoa; Chordata; Actinopteri; Cichliformes; Cichlidae
Exons: 2
Source: RefSeq, a predicted model, not a curated record